Molecule: ribosomal RNA, 468 nt
Filed under: uncultured bacterium
Lineage: Bacteria
Description: partial 16S ribosomal RNA
Rfam family: Bacterial small subunit ribosomal RNA
Source: RNAcentral
GACGAACGCUGGCGGCGUGCUUAACACAUGCGAGUCGAACGGAAAGGCCCUGCUUUUGUGGGGUGCUCGAGUGGCGAACGGGUGAGUAACACGUGAGUAACCUGCCCUUGACUUUGGGAUAACUUCAGGAAACUGGGGCUAAUACCGGAUAGGAGCUCCUGCUGCAUGGUGGGGGUUGGAAAGUUUCGGCGGUUGGGGAUGGACUCGCGGCUUAUCAGCUUGUUGGUGGGGUAGUGGCUUACCAAGGCUUUGACGGGUAGCCGGCCUGAGAGGGUGGCCGGCCACAUUGGGACUGAGAUACGGCCCAGACUCCUACGGGAGGCAGCAGUGGGGAAUAUUACACAAUGGGCGGAAGCCUGAUGCAGCAACGCCGCGUGCGGGAUGACGGCCUUCGGGUUGUAAACCGCUUUCGCCUGUGACGAAGCGUGAGUGACGGUAAUGGGUAAAGAAGCACCGGCUAACUACGUG